RNAcentral lists this small nuclear RNA (280 nucleotides) under Heterocephalus glaber (naked mole-rat). RNAcentral describes it as "7SK RNA". It matches the Rfam family "7SK RNA". Rfam says of the family: 7SK was discovered as an abundant small nuclear RNA in the mid-70s but a possible function has only recently been suggested. Two independent studies have found that 7SK RNA binds the CDK9/cyclin T complex (known as elongation factor P-TEFb). Lineage: Eukaryota; Metazoa; Chordata; Mammalia; Rodentia; Bathyergidae. The record is from Rfam by way of RNAcentral.
GGAUUGAUCCGGAUGGAGACAUCUGUCAUCCCAGCAUUGAUUUGGUUGAUCUAGCUGGCUAGGUUUCCCUUUCAUCCUUCACUGCUCCAUGUGCAUCCCUCCCAAAGCUGUGAGCUUGGUCAGAAGACGACCACCCUUGAUAGAGGGAGACUGUUUUCUCCUUCAAGGGUAUGCUGUGCUCCUCUGCUAGAACCUCCACACAAGCAUUCAGAAGAAACUCCACCCAUAGUUUUGCAGAAGAAGAAAUCAAAAUUUAGAGGUUAAACAACCUACCUAAGGU